UCCUGCAUACAAUAAGUAGCCAGCAGGCGGCGAAACCUAUAGUAUGUGAUAUUAAUUGUUUUUCUUCUUUCAUGAUGUAUUCUAUAUUUGUUAAUUUAUAUGGAAACGUAUUCAGCGAUGCCGCUGUCGCCACCCCUCACAGAAGCGUCAUCAUUCACACUGUAGUUAAACGAUAAUUGUGAGCACCAGUAACUCUAAUCCAAAUGACCUAAACUGAUUGGCAGAUAUGAAUGAUGCCAACCGUGCUUUCAUGUCAGUUUAUAUUCAAUAAAUAUUAACAAAACCAUAUUGUUUGUGCCGUGUGGUUAGGACCUAAUUGUAGACGAUUUAAACAGUUUUCUUUUCGGUUUUUCUCGUUUGUUUAAUUUUUUCUUUAAAUGAUAUAUUUAAACAACGAACCAUUACAUUACUGAUACGAUGCGACGGUAAAAAACACAAGUGUGUCAUUCGUACGUACAAAAUGACACCGUCCUUUCCUCGGAAUUGUCGUCGAUCAUCGUUCAUUUCUCAAGACUAAGCGUUACGCCGACGCUGUUUCGAUAUGUACCAUUCCUAACAGGGAGCAAAGGCGUUCGGUAAAAGAAAGUACAGCUCUUUCUAAGGAACGUUUGUGCCAAGUGGAAAAGCCUCUGGGGCUACGUACUAAGCACAGAAACCUUAACCAGCAUUUUACGGUCGUACGUGGACGUCUGAUACACCGCACCACGUUGACAUCACAGAAUGACGCAAUAGCUACACUACCGAGCCAUUGUAAUAAAAACACCAGCAUAUAGCAGGCAAAGCCUCAGGCGGCAGGAAAUAGGUACGGCUGUUAGGCAAUUUCGAAUCCUUACCUGCAGCUCGUUCGAAGAUGGAAUCAAUCUUGAGGUGCAUGGAACUUGAACCAAUGAUUGCGGUCGUGGGACAAAGUACCUGUGCGACCAGUUCGCUUUUUGACGCAAGGUCUUCGACGACUGCUUCGAACACGAAAUCUGCCUCGCGGACCGCCUCUUCUAGGCGAG
Molecule: long non-coding RNA, 1001 nt
Organism: Varroa destructor (honeybee mite)
Lineage: Eukaryota; Metazoa; Arthropoda; Arachnida; Mesostigmata; Varroidae
Source: RefSeq, a predicted model, not a curated record